Molecule: ribosomal RNA, 1430 nt
Filed under: uncultured prokaryote
Description: partial 16S ribosomal RNA
Rfam family: Bacterial small subunit ribosomal RNA
Source: RNAcentral
AGGCUUAACACAUGCAAGUCGAGGGCAUUGGAGCUUGCUUCAGAUGACGACCGGCGCACGGGUGAGUAACGCGUAUGCAACCUACCUCAAACAGGGGAAUAGCUCAGGGAAACCUGGAUUAAUGCCCCGUAAUAUUUAAAACUGGCAUCAGUUUAAAAUUAAAGCUCCGGCGGUUUGAGAUGGGCAUGCGUGACAUUAGCUAGUUGGUAAGGUAAAGGCUUACCAAGGCAACGAUGUCUAGGGGUUCUGAGAGGAUGAUCCCCCACACUGGUACUGAGACACGGACCAGACUCCUACGGGAGGCAGCAGUGAGGAAUAUUGGUCAAUGGGCGCAAGCCUGAACCAGCCAUCCCGCGUGUAGGAAGACUGCCCUAUGGGUUGUAAACUACUUUUAUAAAGGAAGAAACCCUUCUACGUGUAGAAGGCUGACUGUACUUUACGAAUAAGCACCGGCUAACUCCGUGCCAGCAGCCGCGGUAAUACGGAGGGUGCAAGCGUUAUCCGGAUUUAUUGGGUUUAAAGGGUGCGUAGGCGGGCCUUUAAGUCAGUGGUGAAAUCCUGCAGCUUAACUGUAGAACUGCCAUUGAUACUGAAGGCCUUGAGUAUAGUUGAGGUAGGCGGAAUGUGUAAUGUAGCGGUGAAAUGCUUAGAUAUGACACAGAACACCAAUUGCGAAGGCAGCUCACUAAACUAUCACUGACGCUGAGGAACGAAAGCGUGGGGAGCGAACAGGAUUAGAUACCCUGGUAGUCCACGCCGUAAACGAUGAUUACUCGUUGUUGGCAAUACAUCGUCAGCGACUGAGCGAAAGCAUUAAGUGAUCCACCUGGGGAGUACGGUCGCAAGAAUGAAACUCAAAGGAAUUGACGGGGGCCCGCACAAGCGGAGGAACAUGUGGUUUAAUUCGAUGAUACGCGAGGAACCUUACCUGGACUUAAAUGCAAGACGACCGUUCUGGAAAGGCGUUCUCCCUUUCGGACGGUCUGCAAGGUGCUGCAUGGUUGUCGUCAGCUCGUGCCGUGAGGUGUCGGGUUAAGUCCCAUAACGAGCGCAACCCCUAUUGUUAGUUGCCAGCGGAUAAUGCCGGGGACUCUAACGAGACUGCCACCGUAAGCUGUGAGGAAGGUGGGGAUGACGUCAAGUCAGCACGGCCCUUACGUCCAGGGCUACACACGUGCUACAAUGGCCAGUACAAAGGGCAGCUACUUGGCGACAAGAUGCUAAUCCCCAAAGCCGGUCUCAGUUCGGAUCGGAGUCUGCAACUCGACUCCGUGAAGUUGGAUUCGCUAGUAAUCGGAUAUCAGCCAUGAUCCGGUGAAUACGUUCCCGGGCCUUGUACACACCGCCCGUCAAGCCAUGGAAGCUGGGGGUGCCUGAAGUCUGUCACCGAAAGGAGCGGCCUAGGGUAAAACCGAUAACUAGGGGCUAAG